Molecule: unclassified non-coding RNA, 336 nt
Filed under: soil metagenome
Description: partial contains 5.8S ribosomal RNA, internal transcribed spacer 2, and large subunit ribosomal RNA
Rfam family: 5.8S ribosomal RNA (bases 1-120)
Source: RNAcentral
GAUGAAGAACGUAGCGAAAUGCGAUAAGUAAUGUGAAUUGCAGAAUUCAGUGAAUCAUCGAAUCUUUGAACGCACAUUGCGCCCGCCAGUAUUCUGGCGGGCAUGCCUGUUCGAGCGUCAUUUCAACCAUCAAGCCCCCGGCUUGUGUUGGGGACCUGCGGCUGCCGCAGGCCCUGAAAAGCAGUGGCGGGCUCGCUGUCACACCGAGCGUAGUAGCAUACAUCUCGCUCUGGGCGUGCUGCGGGUUCCGGCCGUUAAACCACCUUCAUAACCCAAGGUUGACCUCGGAUCAAGUAGGAAGACCCGCUGAACUUAAGCAUAUCAAUAAGCGGAGGA